UACGUAGGGGCAAGCGUUGUCCGGAUUUAUUGGGCGUAAAGAGCGUGUAGGCGGCUUGGUAGGUCCGCUGUGAAACUCGAGGCUCAACCUCGAGAUGUCGGCGGAAACCACUUGGCUAGAGUCCGGAAGAGGAGAGUGGAAUUCCCGGUGUAGCGGUGAAAUGCGCAGAUAUCGGGAAGAACACCUAUGGCGAAGGCAGCUCUCUGGGCAUUAACUGACGCUGAGGAGCGAAAGCCUAGGGGUAGCGAAGGGG
RNAcentral lists this ribosomal RNA (253 nucleotides) under uncultured bacterium. RNAcentral describes it as "partial 16S ribosomal RNA". It matches the Rfam family "Bacterial small subunit ribosomal RNA", at positions 524 to 776 of the family's 1533-position model. The record is from RNAcentral.